GUGAGACAGGUGCUGCAUGGCUGUCGUCAGCUCGUGUUGUGAAAUGUUGGGUUAAGUCCCGCAACGAGCGCAACCCUUAUCCUUUGUUGCCAGCGGUCCGGCCGGGAACUCAAAGGAGACUGCCAGUGAUAAACUGGAGGAAGGUGGGGAUGACGUCAAGUCAUCAUGGCCCUUACGACCAGGGCUACACACGUGCUACAAUGGCGCAUACAAAGAGAAGCGACCUCGCGAGAGCAAGCGGACCUCAUAAAGUGCGUCGUAGUCCGGAUUGGAGUCUGCAACUCGACUCCAUGAAGUCGGAAUCGCUAGUAAUCGUGGAUCAGAAUGCCACGGUGAAUACGUUCCCGGGCCUUGUACACACCGCCCGUCACACCAUGGGAGUGGGUUGCAAAAGAAGUAGGUAGCUUAACCUUCGGGAGGGCGCUUACCACUUUGUGAUUCAUGACUGGGGUGAAGUCGUAACAAGGUAACCGUAGGGGAACCUGCGGUUGGAUCAC
Molecule: ribosomal RNA, 497 nt
Filed under: Escherichia coli
Lineage: Bacteria; Pseudomonadati; Pseudomonadota; Gammaproteobacteria; Enterobacterales; Enterobacteriaceae
Also listed under: 1 other name
Description: bacterial SSU rRNA
Rfam family: Bacterial small subunit ribosomal RNA
Source: RNAcentral